AUUUGCUCUGGGUUAGUAGAA
RNAcentral lists this microRNA (21 nucleotides) under Echinococcus granulosus. RNAcentral describes it as "egr-miR-10263-5p". The record is from miRBase by way of RNAcentral. Lineage: Eukaryota; Metazoa; Platyhelminthes; Cestoda; Cyclophyllidea; Taeniidae.